GAGCGCCGAGCAUACACCACAGUUAUUAUUACCAUUUUUCAAUUCCAAGCCCGUCGGCUCCACCGCUAUUCACGUACCCUUGGCGAAGAAGCAGUGGUACGCCACGGAACUGCCCAGAUUGUUUCUCUCUUUGCGGCCCAGGGGAAAAGAGCUCGGCGACCGAGGCGAGACGAGGAGAGCGCGGAUUUGCCCGGAGACGUAAAACCCGCAGAGAGACCGCACGGGUCGCGCGGGCCUUCGCUCGGAAGACUCCCCACCGGCCGCUCCCGGAGUGCUAUCGGUCACUCCUUCCCUCCUCUCGGCCCGGCGAGCGGGCGCCUCGAUUAAAUCCGGCGGAAGCGGGCCUCUCCUCCUGCCGUUCCGUCCGGGAGCCGCCUGACCACCGAAAGAGCCUCCGUCCCUCGUCCCGUCCGACGGCCCGGGGCUCCUCACGGACGCGGCCCCCGUUUCCCUGAUCACCGGGCCGACCGUCCGGGCCGUGCCCCACGUCCGGCUUCCGGACAGAGAAGCACAGAAAAACAGGGAAACUCCAACCCCGUAAACCCCGUGUGAGAUUGGAGAUAGAACAGAAGAACGACAAAAGCGUGCCCACGGGAGAAUUAGAGGGAAAAGAACUCUUUUGCCAGCGCGAGGCAUUACUGGAUCACCGACAGGGUAACCUCGGUCCUAUAUAACCCUCCACCUGUCCGGAGACACGAGGCGGGUGCGGGCGGCGACUCUGAUCUCUGGCCUCCGGGGCAGGCCGGAUCGCUUUUCUACAAAAUCGUGCAGGACGUGUCACCCGCCCCCCAGAGUAACUCCAGCGAUUGCACAUUCACCUCCGCCUCAAACAAAAACGUGGCUAAAAUCCGCCCUCUCCUCUCCAUCCAAACGCCACCGCGUGAGUUUAAUC
Molecule: long non-coding RNA, 892 nt
Organism: Ornithorhynchus anatinus (platypus)
Lineage: Eukaryota; Metazoa; Chordata; Mammalia; Monotremata; Ornithorhynchidae
Exons: 2
Source: RefSeq, a predicted model, not a curated record